Non-coding RNA from Paramuricea clavata, 74 nucleotides. NCBI's taxonomy places the organism in Eukaryota, Metazoa, Cnidaria, Anthozoa, Malacalcyonacea, Plexauridae. The record is from the annotation of a GenBank genome assembly.
GAUCUCGUAGCUUAGUUGGUAGAGCAUUGGACUAGUAUCCCAAAGGUCGCGGGUUCCGAUUCCCACCGUGGUCA